Molecule: long non-coding RNA, 482 nt
Filed under: Elaeis guineensis (African oil palm)
Lineage: Eukaryota; Viridiplantae; Streptophyta; Magnoliopsida; Arecales; Arecaceae
Description: long non-coding RNA (EGUI_LNC043782)
Source: RNAcentral
AGAGAGAGAGAGAUUAGAGAGAGAGAGGAAGAGAAGAAGAAGGGUUCUUCUUUUUCUUCUUGGUGUCCUGUUUAGAUCUCGUCAGAUCAGCAUGAAAUGUUCGUGCUGCAGCCCUCUUCUUCAAAUACUAGAAGAAGAAGUCCAGAUCCAAGUCAAGGAGCGAGGCCUGUAAGGAGCUAGCACUCCGGUGGCUUCGAUACUUUGAUCAGGCCAUCUCCAUGUGGAUAUCAAUAGAGACUGAAUCCUUAUGCAACUUCGAUAGAAACCACGAACAUCCAUCGGAUCCGAUCUGAGUAAUAUCAAAGGAAAGCGAUUAAGGUAAUCGUUCUUCCAUUCUAUUUUCAAUUUCAGAUUUGAUGCAUAAAUUUAUUUCGAGUAUGCUAAUAGUUCCUUAGGUGAUUUAGUAUUAGAUCCAAGCAUGCCUUGGAUUAAAAUUAUUUUAAUCUUAUCUUUCCACUGCGUAUGUUCAUGAAAUGAAAAAU